Molecule: ribosomal RNA, 508 nt
Filed under: uncultured bacterium
Lineage: Bacteria
Description: partial 16S ribosomal RNA
Rfam family: Bacterial small subunit ribosomal RNA
Source: RNAcentral
GAUGAACGCUAGCUACAGGCUUAACACAUGCAAGUCGAGGGGAAACGAUAGAGAAAGCUUGCUUUUUCUAGGCGUCGACAGGCGCACGGGUGAGUAACGCGUAUCCAACCUUCCCAUCACUUGGGGUUAACCUUGCGCAAGUAAGACUAAUACCCAAUGAUAUCUCUAGAAGACAUCUGAAGGAGAUUAUCGCAUUAUCGGUGAUGGAUGGGGAUGCGUCUGAUUAGCUUGUUGGCGGGGUAACGGCCCACCAAGGCGACGGUGAGUAGGGGUUCUAAGAGGCAGGGCCCCCACAUUGGAGCUGAGAAACGGUCCAGACUCCAACGGGAGGCAGCAGUGAGGAAUAUUGGUCAAUGGGCGAGAGUCUGAACCAGCGAAGUAGCGUGCAGGGUGACGGCCCGAUGGGUUGUAAUCUGCUUUUAUAAGGGAAUAAAGUGAGUCUCGUGAGACUUUUUGCAUGUACCUAAUGAAUAAGUACCGGCUAAUUCCGUGCCAGCAGCCGCCGUAA